CCAAACCCUCCAAACUGGGAGCUAAAUAAGCAUUUUCUCUUUAUAACUUAAUUGCCUAAUGCAUUUUGUUGCAGUAAUGUAAAGUUAACACAGUGCUCUUACAAAAGAAGCCUAAAGAUAGACUCCAGGCUCCUUUCACCACACAGAUAUGAAAGUACCAUCUGUGAGCCAGAAAGCAGAUUUUUUCACCACACAUGGAAUUUGCUGACACCUUGGUCUUACACUCUCCAGUCUUCAGAAUUAUGAUAACUGAGGCCAUGGGAGUUGAUGAAGUUUGCUGAAGAGAACCACAUAGGCUGAGUUACAAAAGAGCUCAGCAUACCCCCGAAGACCAGCAAUAACUGAAGGAUGAAUACAAGAGAAGACUGCAAAGUAACCUGAGCCAGAACCACUAGAUGGAGUGAGGUUUUAGAAAACUGAUGGCUAUACUGAAAAGUUAAAAAUCAUCAUUAAAGACAAUAAUAAUCCCUGGAAAUAAUUUCAGAAUCCUAAACGUGUUAGAGGAUACUUUAUGGACAUGCCAUGGAUGAGGGAAACCACAUUGUUAAGGAAGAUACAUGGACUGUGAGCUCCAAAGAAGAUUGCUAGUCCCAGCAUCUUCUCCUAACUGGAGAUUGGCACUAUGAAUCCUUCGACUAAAUACUGCAUGGGAAAAAUAUUCAAUGAGAAAACUGGGAGUUGGCCUUCAAUGAUAUGGUAACCCAAGACUACAGUGAAACAAGUGACUGAAGAGAGGAAUUCAAAAACAGACCUGAAUAAAGAGAGUUCAGGCCCUUCCUAACUGUAUCCCUGGUUACUGUGCCGUUGUCAUUCCUGGGGUUUCUGAU
Long non-coding RNA from Heterocephalus glaber (naked mole-rat), 827 nucleotides. RefSeq lists it as uncharacterized. The record is from RefSeq and is a predicted model, not a curated record. Lineage: Eukaryota; Metazoa; Chordata; Mammalia; Rodentia; Bathyergidae.